This 659-nucleotide ribosomal RNA is filed under the name uncultured bacterium. RNAcentral describes it as "bacterial SSU rRNA". It matches the Rfam family "Bacterial small subunit ribosomal RNA", at positions 87 to 723 of the family's 1533-position model. The record is from RNAcentral.
GAAAUCGAGUGGCAAACGGGUGAGUAACGCGUAAACAACCUGCCCUUCGGAUGGGGAUAACAGCCGGAAACGGCUGCUAAUACCGAAUACGAUCUUUUCGUCGCAUGACGAAAAGAAGAAAGGAUGGCCUCUAUACAAAGCUAUCGCCGAAGGAGGGGUUUGCGUCUGAUUAGCUGGUUGGAGGGGUAACGGCCCAACAAGGCGAUGAUCAGUAGCCGGUCUGAGAGGAUGAACGGCCACAUUGGGACUGAGACACGGCCCAGACUCCUACGGGAGGCAGCAGUGGGGAAUCUUCCGCAAUGGACGAAAGUCUGACGGAGCAACGCCGCGUGAGUGAAGAAGGUCUUCGGAUUGUAAAGCUCUGUUAUACGGGACGAAAAAGACGGAUGCCAACAGUAUCCGUCCGUGACGGUACCGUAAGAGAAAGCCACGGCUAACUACGUGCCAGCAGCCGCGGUAAUACGUAGGUGGCAAGCGUUGUCCGGAAUUAUUGGGCGUAAAGGGCGCGCAGGCGGUUCGGUAAGUCUGUCUUAAAAGUGCGGGGCUUAACCCCGUGAGGGGACGGAAACUGUCGAACUUGAGUGUCGGAGAGGAAAGCGGAAUUCCUAGUGUAGCGGUGAAAUGCGUAGAUAUUAGGAGGAACACCGGUGGCGAAAGCG